AAAUCCGUCGAAUUUGAAAGUCGUGAGGGUUCAAGUCCCUCUAUCCCCA
This 49-nucleotide transfer RNA is filed under the name Oncidium reichenheimii. RNAcentral's name for it is "partial tRNA-Leu". Lineage: Eukaryota; Viridiplantae; Streptophyta; Magnoliopsida; Asparagales; Orchidaceae. The record is from RNAcentral.